GAUAGUGACCACAACCUCACCAUCGUGUGUGGGUUGUGGUUGCUUCUUCUGUUCCUGUGCUUCCUGGUGGGGAUUCCAUCUUUACCAACCUUCUGGAAAACCAAAAUCUACCAAAAGGUAAGGAUCCCUGGGCAAGCCACCAACAGGGAUUUUUUAUUGUUGUUUCCAUUUCUAGUCCCACAUUUUUAAAUGAGUUGGUCCAGAGAGACUCCUAAGAUGGCAAGUCUGAAUAGAGGAUAGAACAUCAUCCUUCUAGGGGAAUAGGCCAGGCAGGACUAGGGGUUCAGCUGGGACUGUUUCCCAUUCAAAACUCACAGACCAUCUGGGUGUGGUGGAGGAUUCCUGGAUUAGAUCCCAUCAGUGAUUUCACGGCCCUGCAUUAGGUUAUUUAGAGAGUUUGGGAUCUGUGUAGGAGAACACUGUUCCCAACACUGGAUCAUGAGUCACAUUCCCAUGUCGGGCGUCAUUCGACCAAACCGUCCUUUGUAUUGGGCAGAUCAGGAAAGCAGGGCUGAGCCUCUGAGCAGACACUGGAGUGUGAGCUCUGUCCCAGGAUACAGGGUCCUAUCUGAGGAAGCACAGAUGUGACUGUGGGCCUCAGAGUCUAUGCCCUCCUUGAGCAGAGGACUUCUGACUGAGAAUAUCAAGUGUGGACUCUAGCCAAAAAUCCUCCUUCGAGUUUUUCAAAGAAGGAAAAAUUGAAAGUAUCUUAUCACCUUUAGAAAUUCAGAAAGGGAAGGAACACAAAGUGCUAGUAAUAAAAAUAGAGAGUGACAUUAAUCUUGGAUGAAUAGCUGAGUUUCCUAGAGAGAGGAGCAAGACAACUAAGUCCUCGCUCCUCAUUCUUUUCUUUUUGUUCUCAGCAUCAGGGCAGAGCCAAGAGGAGAAGAAAAGGUGGAACAUCAAGUGGUUGGAGAAAUUACCAGAGGGAAACAGAGGAGAAAAGGAGGCUAAUUUCUAUUCUGAAAAGGCCCCUAGGCCGGCCUCUCGAUACCACCCACUUUCGUCAACUAUUAUGCCCAGACCCCUCCUGUGAGGUGUGUAAUAGCACAACUGCUGAGGUCAAUCGGCUGCUGUUCCUGGAGGACCUGGAAGAUGAUACUGCCUCUGUGUCCUCUAUGGCUUCCACAGCUUCUGGGACUGAGUCAUCAUUCACUCUGUCCUCUGCCUUCUCAGAAGUCCCUCCAGGAGACCUAACACCAUCCCCUCCACCUGACCCUU
Molecule: long non-coding RNA, 1221 nt
Organism: Equus quagga
Lineage: Eukaryota; Metazoa; Chordata; Mammalia; Perissodactyla; Equidae
Exons: 3
Source: RefSeq, a predicted model, not a curated record